AAGUGUUUUCAGGGAAUGGUGAAAAUCCUUACCGGUGGUGAUAGUCCACGAGUUAGCUUAAUUGCUUACAGAUUCGGUGCAAUUCCGAAACCGACAGUAAAGUCUGGAUGGGAGAAAACGUUU
RNAcentral lists this non-coding RNA (123 nucleotides) under Clostridiales bacterium. Its description in RNAcentral is "FMN sequence". It matches the Rfam family "FMN riboswitch aptamer (RFN element)". Rfam says of the family: The RFN element is a highly conserved domain that is found frequently in the 5'-untranslated regions of prokaryotic mRNAs that encode for flavin mononucleotide (FMN) biosynthesis and transport proteins. This element is a metabolite-dependent riboswitch that directly binds FMN in the absence of proteins. Lineage: Bacteria; Bacillati; Bacillota; Clostridia; Eubacteriales. The record is from RNAcentral.